AGUGACGACCACGGACGAAGGGGCGGUACGACCACGGUGAGAUUCAUGACUGGGGUG
RNAcentral lists this ribosomal RNA (57 nucleotides) under uncultured bacterium. Its description in RNAcentral is "partial 16S ribosomal RNA". The record is from RNAcentral.